UGGAGACAGGUGCUGCAUGGCUGUCGUCAGCUCGUGUCGUGAGAUGUUGGGUUAAGUCCCGCAACGAGCGCAACCCUUGUCUUUAGUUGCCAUCAUUCAGUUGGGCACUCUAAAGAGACUGCCGGUGUCAAACCGGAGGAAGGUGGGGAUGACGUCAAGUCCUCAUGGCCUUUAUGACCAGGGCUACACACGUACUACAAUGGCCGGUACAAAGGGCAGCCACUUAGCGAUAAGGAGCCAAUCCCGUAAAGCCGGUCUCAGUCCGGAUUGGAGUCUGCAACUCGACUCCAUGAAGUUGGAAUCGCUAGUAAUCGCAGAUCAGCACGCUGCGGUGAAUACGUUCCCGGGCCUU
This 352-nucleotide ribosomal RNA is filed under the name uncultured Desulfocapsa sp. Its description in RNAcentral is "bacterial SSU rRNA". It matches the Rfam family "Bacterial small subunit ribosomal RNA", at positions 1029 to 1382 of the family's 1533-position model. Lineage: Bacteria; Pseudomonadati; Thermodesulfobacteriota; Desulfobulbia; Desulfobulbales; Desulfocapsaceae. The record is from RNAcentral.